AGUUCUUCCACUGAUCUAAAGGUGACGUGUCACACGGAAAGCUUGGUUUCAAUUUUUUUUCCUUCGACAUUUUUUUUUCUUCGACAUUUUUUUUUCUUCUUCUCUCGCAAAUGGCGACAAGGCGAAACGGCGACUACGACUACAUCGCCGAUGGAUCCUCCUCCGCCGCGAAACCCUAUCCAUGAUUCUGAUCCUGAACCAAACACCGUGUCGAUUUCUCCAAGCGACGAAUCCUCAACCAUAACGGGAGUCGCGUCGAUGAACCCUCCACCUCCCAGAAACCCUAACCAACCUGAUUUGAAGACAACUGAAGUAGUAGAACCCAAGCUAAUUGAAGAAUCUAAGGACGAAUCUGUCUCUAUAGACGCGAACCCAAGCUAAUUGAAGAAUCUAAGGAAGAAUCUAAUUGUAAUUCGUAUGUUUUUUCUCUCUCUUUGCAGCUAUGAGAAAGGAGCUUACUUGUUUAGACGUGAUGAUAUCUGUGAUUUUGCUCUUGAGCAUCCCUCAAUUUCACGGUUUCAUGCAGAUUUACAGUCAAAGCUACGAUUGAAAUGAAGGAGGAUUCUCGGAUAACGGUUUUGGAAUGUCUCGGGGAUCCACAUUCUAAGAAGAAACUCGCAGCCGAUAUAAAUGAUGAUGGUAACAGGUGAACAGGCUGUAUGAUCUUUAUCCAGUAACAGGUGAUCAAAUCGUCUUAUUUUGUUCAUGUUCAUAGGCUUUGAGGAUUAGUUUUUGAUGUAAGCUCUACCUAGGGAGCUCAAAAGGGUAGCCUCUGUCGCAAAAUACUCAUCUAUGUGUAGCGUCAGUUGUAAGUAAAGUAUGGUUACCACUUCUCUCUUUGGUUUCUCAUUGUAACAGUCACUCAGUGUGUGGAUUUAAAUAAAAUGAUAUUGGUAAAGAUAUAUCCAGUAGAGAGUUAAAAGGAUUCAAUGUUUUUAAACUGCUCAUUCUCCUUAUGUAGAACUAGUAGAAAUCACUGAGUUACAAAAUGAGGUUUGUCUUGGCCUUAACAUCAGUUUCCUGAAACCAACACAACGUUGAUCUGUGAUACAUACAUUGCCCCAAUAUUCUAUGAUACAUUUCAAUGUGUGAUGAUGA
This is a long non-coding RNA of Camelina sativa (false flax), 1098 nucleotides long. RefSeq lists it as uncharacterized. The record is from RefSeq and is a predicted model, not a curated record. NCBI's taxonomy places the organism in Eukaryota, Viridiplantae, Streptophyta, Magnoliopsida, Brassicales, Brassicaceae.